Molecule: ribosomal RNA, 465 nt
Filed under: uncultured bacterium
Lineage: Bacteria
Description: partial 16S ribosomal RNA
Rfam family: Bacterial small subunit ribosomal RNA
Source: RNAcentral
GACGAACGCUGGCGGCGUGCUUAACACAUGCAAGUCGAACGGAAAGGCCCUGCUUGCAGGGUACUCGAGUGGCGAACGGGUGAGUAACACGUGGGUGAUCUGCCCUGCACUUCGGGAUAAGCCUGGGAAACUGGGUCUAAUACCGGAUAGGAGCCAUUUUUAGUGUGAUGGUUGGAAAGUUUUUUCGGUGUAGGAUGAGCUCGCGGCCUAUCAGCUUGUUGGUGGGGUAAUGGCCUACCAAGGCGGCGACGGGUAGCCGGCCUGAGAGGGUGGACGGCCACAUUGGGACUGAGAUACGGCCCAGACUCCUACGGGAGGCAGCAGUGGGGAAUAUUGCACAAUGGGCGCAAGCCUGAUGCAGCGACGCCGCGUGGGGGAUGACGGCCUUCGGGUUGUAAACUCCUUUCGCUAGGGACGAGGCUUUUUGUGACGGUACCUAGAUAAGAAGCACCGGCUAACUACGUG